This is a long non-coding RNA of Sarcophilus harrisii (Tasmanian devil), 1597 nucleotides long. RefSeq lists it as uncharacterized. NCBI's taxonomy places the organism in Eukaryota, Metazoa, Chordata, Mammalia, Dasyuromorphia, Dasyuridae. The record is from RefSeq and is a predicted model, not a curated record. The transcript has 2 exons.
UUAUAUGCAUUUUGGAAGUUUUUCUUUUUUGGUAUGAGUUUUCCUGACUUAUUUUGAAAGGUACAAGACUACAUGGUUAUUAUCUUGGAUUUUUCUCAAGGCCAAGUAUGGCUCUCUGGGUUGCCAUGGUGGUCUAGAAUUCAUUGAGAGGAAUUGUUUAGUUAAUCUGACAAUACUGUUUAUAAAAGUUAUAAAACUACCAGCUUCCCACAGAAAGAUAUACUUAAUAGAACCAUAGAGUUGAAAGGAAGGGAAGAGGUUGGGAUGAGAGGAAAUAGGGUGAUGAUGGAGUGUUUAUUUGUAUAAUUUUAUAAAGACUUCACUUUGGGUAGCCCCAUGGAGGUGAACCUAGGAUGCUCACAGUAUUUUCAGGGUGGAAGACAGCCAAGCACUGAUAACAAGGUUGUUAUCAUCUGUGAGGUAGAUAGGCAGUGUCACGUAGGAAAAAGAGCCCUGGAUUUUGAGCAGAGGUCCUGGCUUUGAAUCCAGCGCUGCUAUGUACUACCUGGGUGAUAAAAGCCAGAGCACUCUUAUACUUCAUUUUCCUCCUUUAUAAAAUGAGGAAGUUGAGCUAGAUAAGGGUAUAUUAGGAGCGAGCUGGGCAGGUUCAGGAGAGCUGAUUGUCAAAUUUUCAUUGUAAACAUUUACACCUUGGAAAUCAACAAAUUCUUAUAAUCACAUCUGUGUUUUUUUGUUUUUUUUUUUUUUUGGGGGGGGGGUAUUGCCUAUUGUCUCUAGACUAAAGGAAAUGAUGGAGAAAAUGCAGACUACACUUGAGUCUAUUAUGUCUAUAAUUCACUCUUACCCCCAUUCUACUCCCCAAAAGUUGGUUGUUAAACAUCUAUUAGCACACUCCUGGGCUAAAUAAUCUCUAAGUUUCUUUCCUGCUGUAUAACAUGUUAUAAACCCUGUUUUCUUAUCUCCAUUUUAUAGUUAGGAAAAUGAGUUCAGAGAAGGGAGAGGAUGGGCCCCAAGCCCCUUAGGUAUUUAGUCAGUGUCGGGUUGGGGCCGGCCUGUAUCUAGCUUGGACAUUCUUGUCAUGAGUGCCUUGAGUUCUGAGGAAUCUUGCCAAGUAUUCCAGUGUGAGAACAUUUGCACUGAUUUGGUACAGCCCAUAUCCAGUGAUUUUAUUUUUAGUUGGCGGAUAGGGUCUUAAGGAAACCAGUUAUUGAAACAUCUGUUUGCAGAGGAUGAGAGCUGAGCUGGAGUCCAAGGACCUGGGCCCAGCAGCGUCAGCUCUAUAGAAGCUUGGGUAAGUAGACACCCCUUUCCUCCUCUAAAAAAGGAGGUUGAACGAGGCACUUUCUACUUUUUAAGCUGGAACCUAUGGAUCUGAACAAAUCUCGAAUGACCGACCUCAUUCUGCAGCCACUUUGAUUUCAUUUCCCAGAAUCUUGCAGGGUUUCUUAAGUAUCCUGUUGAAGUCUAAUGAUGACCUUGGAUUUUUGCAGUUUCUUACUGCUGGAGCACAAGUCCUGGGCAGGUUCUAUCAUGCUUCAAAAGCUUGAAGACAAUCCAAGUAAAUGGAAAAGUUGGUUCAUCAACAGAAAGUUGACUGAUGUCAUAAACUUUUGUCACAUCAGCUCAUGGAGAUAGU